Molecule: small nucleolar RNA, 77 nt
Filed under: Microcebus murinus (gray mouse lemur)
Lineage: Eukaryota; Metazoa; Chordata; Mammalia; Primates; Cheirogaleidae
Description: Small nucleolar RNA SNORD74 (ENSMICG00000021308.3)
Rfam family: Small nucleolar RNA SNORD74
About the family: Z18 also identified as U74 (SNORD74) belongs to the C/D class of snoRNA which contain the C (UGAUGA) and D (CUGA) box motifs.
Source: Rfam by way of RNAcentral
CAGAACAGCCUCUAAUGACGCCUCCACUGGUAGAAACAUCUGAGAAUGUUGAUGAAUGCCAACAGGUUUGAUGGGAG